Molecule: unclassified non-coding RNA, 391 nt
Filed under: soil metagenome
Description: partial contains 5.8S ribosomal RNA, internal transcribed spacer 2, and large subunit ribosomal RNA
Rfam family: 5.8S ribosomal RNA (bases 1-122)
Source: RNAcentral
GAUGAAGAACGUAGCGUAAUGCGAUACUUGGUGUGAAUUGCAGAAUCCCGUGAACCAUCGAGUCUUUGAACGCAAGUUGCGCCCGAAGCCAUUAGGCCGAGGGCACGCCUGCCUGGGCGUCACACGUCGUUGCCCCCCCAUCUACUCCUUCGGGAUUGCGGGGGGCGGAUGAUGGCCUCUCGUGCGCCUCGUCGCGCGGUUGGCCUAAAUGCCAAGUCCUCGGCGACGCACGCCACGACAAUCGGUGGUUGCGAAACCUCGGUUGCCUGUCGUGUGCGGUCGUCGCGCAUCGAGGGCUCGAAAAAAUUGCCGGGCUUCGGCUCGACUUUCAACGCGACCCCAGGUCAGGCGGGGUUACCCGCUGAAUUUAAGCAUAUCAAUAAGCGGAGGA